Molecule: unclassified non-coding RNA, 212 nt
Filed under: Clavaria argillacea
Lineage: Eukaryota; Fungi; Basidiomycota; Agaricomycetes; Agaricales; Clavariaceae
Description: internal transcribe spacer 1
Source: RNAcentral
UCGAUUUUUAAAGAUGUGCUGGCACUCCUUCACCGGUUUGCAUGUGCACUCUGCAAAAUCUCCUUCUCUUACCCCACUGUGCACACCCAAGUAGACAAACAGAGUUACAGAGCAAUCUGUGUAAUUCCUGAUUUGCCUAUGUUUUUAUCAAACACCAAUAACAAUCUCAGAAUGAUCUAUAUAGUAAGCUUUUAACAAGCUGAAAUUUAAUA